Molecule: long non-coding RNA, 2431 nt
Organism: Hypanus sabinus (Atlantic stingray)
Lineage: Eukaryota; Metazoa; Chordata; Chondrichthyes; Myliobatiformes; Dasyatidae
Exons: 3
Source: RefSeq, a predicted model, not a curated record
CUGAAAUGGUUAACUGUGUUUCUCUCUCCACAGAUGUCUGACCUGCUGAGUAAUUCCAUCAUUUGCUGUUUUCAUUCUAGUUAGGUUGAACAGGAUUGGAGGAGGCAAGAAUUCACAACUAAAUGCAAGCCAUUAAGAUGAUCAACCUGUGCUGUGAGGCAAGUUAAUGGACCCAGUGCACAGAUUAUGGAAUCCAGCAAGACAGAGAGACUCCCAGACACUGCCACCAUACCCUAAGAAAGAGAAAAAUAGUUUCAACUAUCCAUUUUAGAAACUCAGUCUUUGCUGAUUUUGUAAUAUAGGAUUGAACAUACCUUUCUUGAUUUGGAAAUUCGUUAUGUGGAAGUGCACCAUACUACGUUGAGUGCCCUGGCUUCAUCUCUCAGCAGUUUUGGUUUGUUUUCAAGUAACUGCUACACCCAAUAAAAAAUGUCCUGACAGUGACAAUAAAUGCUAAAUUUCUACUAUAAUUGGCAUGAAAACAUGCUUCCUCAGUUCAUUCUAAAACACCUCAACUUUAGUUUUAAGAUGAUGUCCUCUUGUUCUAGACUCCCUAUCAGAAAAAAAAUGUUUCCCUUGUAUCUACACUUCCAAGUUCCUUUUUGAAAGUCAUGAUCAGAUAGACAGACAGACAUACUUUAUUGAUCCCGAGGGGAAUUGGGUUUUGUUACCGCCGCACCAAGAAUAGUGAAGAAAUACAGCAAUAUAAAACCAUAAAUAAUUAAAUAAUAAUAAGUUAAUCAUGCCAAGUGGAAAUAAGCCCAGGACCAGCCUAUUGACUCGGGUGUCUGACACUCCUAGGGAGGAGUUGUAAAGUUUGAUGGCCGCAGGUAGGAAUGACUUCCUAUGACGCUCAGUGUUACAUCUCAGUGGAAUGAGUCUCUGGGUGAAUGUACUCCUGUGAAUGAGAUAUUACUGAACUUCUGAACUACAGAGAAUUAAAAGAUUGUUUUACUUAGCCAAUGUUCAUAAUUAAACUAUUUAGGCCUGAGUGUGAAAUGUACAUAAUCUAAAGGUGAAUAAAUACUGACAUCCAGUGUCCAAAACUGAACAUCACGCUCUUGAUUGGGUCUCAGCAUAGCUUAACAUGCCAGAAAAAUUAUUUCCCUAUUUUAGCAUAUUUUUAAUUACAUUUCACAUCAGUCAUAGUUAGUGCACGACGUGUGUCAAUAGACCUGAAUACUUUGUUUCUAACACUUCUAUCGGCAUGAAAAUUGUUUUCAGAUCCAAAAGUCAAAGUCUUCACAGUUAAAACUUAGAACUCUACAGCACCGAACAGGCCCUUCAGCCCACAAUGUUGAGCUGGCCUUUUAACAUACUCCACAGUCAACCUAAUCAUUCCCUCCUAUAUAGCCCAUAACCCUCCAUUUUACUGACAUUCAUGUGUCUAUCUAAGAGUCUCUUAAAUGUCCCUAUAUUAUCAGCCCCUACCUGGAGUGCAUUCCAAACACUUACCACUCUUUCUGUGUAAAAAAAAACCUACCUCUGACACCACACCUAAACUUUCCUUGAACAAGAUGUCCUCUGGAAUUGGCCAUUGCCACCCCAGGAAAAAGGCACUUAAAUCUAUGCCUCGCAUUAUCUUAUACACUUCUAUCAAGUCAUCGCUCAUCUUCCUUCACUCCAAAGAGAAAAGCCCUAGCUCGCUCAGCUGUUCCUCUUAAGACAUAUUCUCCAAUCAAGGCAGUAUCUUGGUAAAUCUCCUCUGCACCUUCUCAUAAUAAGGUGACUGGAAUUGAAGACAAUACUCCAAGUGUGAUUUAACCAAAGUUUUAUAAAGCUGCAACAUUACCUCAUGACUCUUAAACUCAAUUAACUGACUAAUGAAGACCAACACACCAUAUACCUUCUUAACCACCCUAUCAUCUUCUGUGGCAAGAUGGCGCCGAUAAGUGGCGUCUCUUUAUGGGCAGCUCCGAAAUAAAUCAUCAAAUAUUCCUGUUUAAGAGUACGACAACAACCACAGCCAUGUGACUAUUGUAGUUGUCUUGAACAGAAUUAUUUGAGAAUAUUUAAGCUAUCUAAAAAAUAUUUUGAUCCUCAAAAAUUGACAGACCCCGGACGACAGACUCAAGUGCAGUUUCCCUUUAAGAAAAAUGAAGCAGGGCAGAUGAGCCAGUCUGCAAGUACAAUUGAAACACAGAGGCUUUAGACCUCCACUCCCAACUACCCUGCUGACAAAUGUAUAGUCUCUGUAAAAUAAAACUGAAGGCUUCAAAGAAAGAUUGCAGUACAGGCAUGUGCAGACUUUUUUUUCUUGUCAUUAUUCCCUAAACAAUGCAGUAUAACAACCAUUUUACAAAGCAUUUACAUUGUAUUAGGUAUUAUAAGUAAUUUAGAGAUGAUUUAAAGUAUACAGGAGGAUGUGCAUGGGUUAUCAUGGAUCGGGAUUGAAAAAAAUCAGAUGUUCUCUUACUAAGUAAGUCGGAAC